UACGUAUGUGGCGAGCGUUGUUCGGAAUCACUGGGCAUAAAGAGUUCGUAGGCGGAUGUAUCAGUUGGAUGUGAAAUCCCGGGGCCUACCCCCGGAACUGCAUUCAAUACUGUACAUCUGGAGUCUUUCAGGGGUAAGUGGAAUUCCAUGUGUAGCGGUGAAAUGCGUAGAUAUAUGGGAGAACGCCAAUGGCGAAGGCAGCUUACUGGGGAAUGACUGACGCUGAGGAACGAAAGUUAGGGUAUCGAACGGG
This 253-nucleotide ribosomal RNA is filed under the name uncultured bacterium. Its description in RNAcentral is "partial 16S ribosomal RNA". It matches the Rfam family "Bacterial small subunit ribosomal RNA", at positions 524 to 776 of the family's 1533-position model. The record is from RNAcentral.